This 43-nucleotide transfer RNA is filed under the name Pseudomonas aeruginosa DSM 50071 = NBRC 12689. Its description in RNAcentral is "tRNA_Gly_CCC". Lineage: Bacteria; Pseudomonadati; Pseudomonadota; Gammaproteobacteria; Pseudomonadales; Pseudomonadaceae. The record is from RNAcentral.
GCUUCCCAAGCUCAUGACGAGGGUUCGAUUCCCUUCGCCCGCU